CAACGUGGUAUGCCAUAGCAAACAUGUAAGAAUGGUUCUGGGUCUCAAUUUAUCAGAUUCCUCUAAUUUAUUAGGACUGCACAUAUGAAAGUAAAUUGCUAGCAGCUGGUUGCCUACCUAAACCUAGCUGAACUCCUGGGAGCUAUUACACAGCUUCUUAAAAUCUGUCCCAGUGUGCACCAAGCUGAUGUGGGAAAGAACAAAGAUACCUCUUCUCAAAGCACCUUAUUUCAUAUUCACCUGGAAGCCCAGGGGAUAUUUCUCCUAAACACCAUAUUGCCCAAAACUCCCUUGAGCUCCCUGCACUCUGGUAGACUUUUCCACAAUUCCUUGACCUAUACACACCAUCUAUUUGGCCAUUGUGGCUCUCAGAAGACCACAGCAAGUCACUUCUGCAGUCCCAAGAUGUAUGUACUAUAUAUAUAUAUAUAUAUAUAUAUAUGCACACACACACAUACAUAUAUACAUAGUACAGUACCCCUUCUCCUUCUUGAAGUCCUCCAGCUUUUCCAUUCUGCCCAAGAUCUGGAUUUCCUGCUAGCCUGUCUACAUGGCACCACUAAUGGUUUUCAAAGAGAGAGAGAAAGUGAGAGAGAGAAUCCUGAGAGCAGUCUGCAGAAGAGUUCUAGGGGUCUGUGUGAAUAUACAUGUGUGCAUGUGUGUGUGAGUAAGGGAGAGAGCAAAAAUGCUGAAAAAAGAACUUUUUGGGACAAUCACAAUGAAAACGCAAAAUAUGUAUAACAAAUCAUUUAGGCAAGUAUACUUCCUACACUGUCACUUGAGAGGCUCUGUGAGAACAGAGACUAUGGCUGGCCUACUCAGUGUAUGUCCCAGUGUCUGUUUUAGCACUUGGUACAUAUGUAUGAGUAGCAUAAUCUCAUCUAGUAAGUGAAUGAAGGAAAAAUGUACUGAUCAUGUUCUAUCGAUAUGACUCAAUAUAGUAAUAAGUCAUUAAUGGAUCUCGGGAAGCAGGAGAUUCGUGAAAAGACUGAAAGAGAAACAAAAAACUGAAAGGGAGCUUGAGAUUUUCCAAUUUGUUUCCACGUGUCUCUUCAAAGUUCAGUCCGUGACUCUGUGGAGCAGUCCCUUACUCCUUGUAAUUCUCUUGCCUCUUAUAGGUUGCUUCCCCUGGUUCCUGUGAGCUCACCAGUGAUACUGUGCCAAGAACUCUCAAACUGGCUUCAUAGUUAAAGAAAGUAGCAUUGACUAGGGAAAAUCAAAGAUGAAAUUCUCUUCUGUGAACCACUAAUCUCUCCCUGUCCCCCUUUCCUAUAUCCCCUCCAUCCUACAAAUCUAGCAGCAGCAUGGGACAGAGGACGAAAAACAACCUGUGUUGAUUUUGAUCCAUUCAUCUUAACUGUAUGAGAUUCACUAAGCCUCAGAUUCUACGUUAGCAAAAUAGGCAUAAAAAUAAUGACCAGGGGUGGGUAUUUGGUCCAGUCAUUAGGACACUAAUGGGAACACCUCUGUUCCAUAUUGGAGUGCCUGUAUUCAAGUCCCAGAUCUAUUUCUGAAUCUGGUUUCCUACUAAUGCACCCCCUGGAAGUCAGCAGGUGAUGGCUGACGUGGGUUCCUGCCAUCCAUGUAAGAUACCUCGAUAGAGUUCAUGGCUCCUAGCUCCUGCCUGGCGCAGCCUUGGCUGUCACAUGGAUUUGGAGAACAAGCCAGUGGAUGAAAGAUCUUUCUCUGUCUCUUUGUAUGUCACCUUCUUUAACCCUGCCUUUCAUAUAAAAUAUAAAUA
This is a long non-coding RNA of Oryctolagus cuniculus (rabbit), 1741 nucleotides long. The record is from Ensembl. NCBI's taxonomy places the organism in Eukaryota, Metazoa, Chordata, Mammalia, Lagomorpha, Leporidae.